UCAGAGUGUGCUCUUCCGAUUGCUUUGUGCCUGCCACCUAGUGUAAAAUAAAAUCAAGUAAUACAAUCUUAACUGUUGUGGCCUUUUUUCAAAAGAAUUGGUACUGUUUAAGGCCAAAAGUAACAGUUUAUAGACCUGUUAGUUUCACCUUGGCUUUUACAUUCAAAAGGAUUUGUAUUGCAUUGAAUUUAUAAACUCUGACUUGUGAAAACCAUAGUUGAUCUAUUUUCUUCCAGCCCAAUGUCUAGACUUGUUGGUAUUUCCAGUGAUAUUUCCCUUCCCCCCU
This is a long non-coding RNA of Canis lupus familiaris (dog), 286 nucleotides long. RefSeq lists it as uncharacterized. The record is from RefSeq and is a predicted model, not a curated record. The transcript is spliced from 3 exons. Lineage: Eukaryota; Metazoa; Chordata; Mammalia; Carnivora; Canidae.